This 403-nucleotide ribosomal RNA is filed under the name Nematoda environmental sample. Its description in RNAcentral is "SSU rRNA". It matches the Rfam family "Eukaryotic small subunit ribosomal RNA", at positions 166 to 566 of the family's 1831-position model. The record is from RNAcentral. Lineage: Eukaryota; Metazoa; Nematoda.
AAUACAUGCAAAAAAGCUCCGCCCGCAAGGAACGAGCGCAUUUAUUAGAAUAAAAACCAAUCGGGUUUCGGCCCGUAAUUUGGUGAAUCUGAAUAACUUUGCCAAUCGCACAGUCCUAGUACUGGCGAUGUAUCUUUCAAGUGUCUGCCUUAUCAACUUUCGAUGGUAGGUUAUACGCCUACCAUGGUAGUAACGGGUAACGGAGAAUAGGGGUUCGACUCCGGAGAGGGAGCCUGAGAAACGGCUACCACAUCCAAGGAAGGCAGCAGGCGCGCAAAUUACCCACUUCCAGAACGGAGAGGUAGUGACGAAAAAUAACGAGACAGUCCUCUUCGAGGUCUGUCAUCGGAAUGGGUACAAUUUAAAUCCUUUAACGAGGAUCUAUUGGAGGGCAAGUCUGGUG